UAUUUUAUUCAUUUUUUAAAAUUGACUUCUUUCUUUGUAGAUACUAUAGAUAACAUGAACCACACAACAAAUAAUAAGACCACAGUUGCUCCAUCAGGUCAGACUGAAAACACUGAUAGUUCUUCUGUCUCGGUCACAUCAGAGAAACCAACAACAGUCAUAACUCCAGAUAUUUUGACCUCAACUAACACAACCACUAUGAAUCCAGCUCCUGGUGAU
This is a long non-coding RNA of Mugil cephalus (flathead mullet), 219 nucleotides long. RefSeq lists it as uncharacterized. The record is from RefSeq and is a predicted model, not a curated record. The transcript is spliced from 3 exons. NCBI's taxonomy places the organism in Eukaryota, Metazoa, Chordata, Actinopteri, Mugiliformes, Mugilidae.